This 253-nucleotide ribosomal RNA is filed under the name uncultured bacterium. Its description in RNAcentral is "partial 16S ribosomal RNA". It matches the Rfam family "Bacterial small subunit ribosomal RNA", at positions 524 to 776 of the family's 1533-position model. The record is from RNAcentral.
UACGAAGGGGGCAAGCGUUGUUCGGAAUUACUGGGCGUAAAGGGCGCGUAGGCGGCUUAUCAAGUCAGGCGUGAAAUUCCCGGGCUCAACCUGGGGGCUGCGCUUGAUACUGAUUGGCUUGAAUGCGGGAGAGGAUAGUGGAAUUCCCAGUGUAGAGGUGAAAUUCGUAGAUAUCGGGGGGAAUACCAGUGGCGAAAGCGGCACCCUAGCGUUAGCCUGACGCUCAUGUGCGAAAGCGUGGGGAGCGAACGGG